CUAAAGUUUGUGAAAGUAUUAAAUAUGUGAGAGGUUCACAAGUUCGGAAACAAAAAUUUUUGGAAUGUGUUAGACAAGUUUCUUUGGACAGUAAAAAAGGCUUAAGGCAAGAUGUUCCUACAAGAUGGAAUUCAACUUUUUUGAUGCUGGAUAGUGCUCUCUUUUACCGUCGUGCUUUUCUUCAUUUGAAAUUAAGUGACUCUAAUUACAAGCAUUGUCCAUCUGAAGAGGAGUGGGGUAAAGUUAAGAAGAUUAGCAAGUUGUUGAGUGUAUUCUAUGAUGCUACUUUAGUAUUCUCCGGAGCUAAAUAUCCUACAUCAAACUUAUAUUUUCCUUAAGUUUUCUUGAUUGAGCUUACUUUAAGGCAAGAGAUUCAGAGUGCAGAUGCUUUCAUACAAAGAAUGACACGGCAGAUGUAUCAAAAAUUUGAAAAGUAUUGGUCGAAUCAUAGCUUAAUCUUGGCCAUGGCAGUUAUUUUGGAUCCUCGGUACAAAUUUCAGUUUGUGGAUUACUGUUAUAAGAAGUUGAAUGGGUAUGGUUCUACUGAGAGCAUGCACAUCCGUGAUUGUAUGUUUUCUCUCUUUAAUCAGUAUAUGCUUGGUUCUUCUAAAACUCCAAUUGCUAGCACAUCAACUCAUGGAUAUGUAGAGACCGGUACUUCUUCUGAAACUUCCGAAGCAUUUAGAAAAGCAGAUGCUUUUAAGGAUUUUGAUACAUUUGAAAGAUUUGAUUUUGUGACUACUGCCCAGAAGUCUCAAUUGGAAUUAUAUUUGGAUGAGCCUAGAGUUGAUAGGAUGUCCAAUUUGGAUAUCCUUGAUUUUUAGAAAACCAAACAGUCUUAUUAUCCUCAACUUUCUCUUAUGGCACGUGAUAUUUUAACUAUUCCAAUAUCUACGGUCGCCUCUGAAUCUGCUUUUAGUAUCGGUGGGCGAGUACUUGAUAAGUAUCGUAGUGCUCUUAAACUGGAUAUUGCUGAGGCCUUGAUUUGUACUCGAGAUUGGGUGUUUGAAAAGAAAGAUGUUGAGGAGGCCGAGUUAGAUGAGAUUGUAGAAGAUGUCAUAAACUCAAGUUCCUACAAUGAAACUCAAUCAACUCAAUGCUCGGCCAAUGUUGAAUCCAAUUCGUAGUGAGAUGAAUCAUGAUCAUGGAUACUACUUUUUGGUUUUGGUUUAAAUAUGGAUGUUGUUAUAGUUUGGGACUUUUUUUAGUUUUGCUUUGACUAUGGAUACUCCUUUUUUGAUUUUUUUGUUGUCAUUGGACUUAUGCAGUUAUGGACCUUAUGGCCAAUGUGGUUUCCUUUGAUAUUUAUAGCUAUUUGGUAGUUUCUUUUGCUAGAUUCUAUGCAAUGCUGUUUUUAUUUUUAUUCAAUAAUAGUCUAACUCUUCUUGGGGUAAGUUUUCUGAAUUUCUUGAAAGUGGAAGAUCUGACCUGUACCAAACCAAAAGUGAAGAGAUUGUAAGUUUUUCAGACAUUGCAGUGUGGUGAGUUAGUACCUUUCUUGUAUGCUUGUAUGCUCAGCAUGUUGUGGAGGUAAAAAAUGUUGAUGCUUGUAUGCAUAAGUUUCAGAAAUAUAUAGUACUUAUCAAAACCAAUUUUCUGUUAGAUGUCUGCAGCAGCAUUUGCCAAAGGGCUUCUUGAUUUGGAGGGUCAGUUAACUCCAAUUCUGAUUAUUACUCUGCUGAUGAUCUUGUGGUGAAGCGAAGAUCAACUUCAUGAAUGCAAAUGAACAAAUACUUUGAUAUUAGCACGCUCCGAGAAUACUUGGAAUUAGGAUCAAUCUCAAGAAGCUCAGGACAGCAGAGGAAAAAAUUAUUAACUCCAUCUGAUUUGGGUUUAACAAGUCACCGGAAGCACCAUCAAAUUAGGACAUCUGUUGCCGCUAUCUUUGCAUUGUGGAAGCCUCAUACAGCUAAAAACUAAAAUCAGCAAGCAGCCAAGCAUAUUGAUACAACAAAAGCUAGUAUGACCAUCUUCCUGCAUCUGGAGUGUUUGAUGCAAACCAUUCAUUCUUCAGACAGUGGCCAACUACAUGACUUUGUUUCUGUUCUCUUUCUAUAAUAUUUUAUCACAUGAACCAUCAUUAGGUGGAAAGCUUUUUGUUGUGAACUUAUAAGUAAUGCAUACCAGCAGCUAAGGAUUUCGUAUUUCAA
Molecule: non-coding RNA, 2150 nt
Organism: Phoenix dactylifera (date palm)
Lineage: Eukaryota; Viridiplantae; Streptophyta; Magnoliopsida; Arecales; Arecaceae
Source: RefSeq, a predicted model, not a curated record